GAGGAAAAGAAACUAACAAGGAUUCCCCUAGUAACUGCGAGUGAACCGGGAAAAGCUCAAAUUUUGAAUCUGGCGGUCCAAGGGCCGUCCGAGUUGUAAUCUAGAGAAGCGUCUUCCGCGCUGGACCGUGUAUAAGUUUCCUGGAAUGGAACGUCGUAGAGGGUGACAAUCCCGUCUUUGACACGGACUCCCAGUGCUAUGUGAUGCGCUCUCGACGAGUCGAGUUGUUUGGGAAUGCAGCUCAAAUAGGGUGGUAAAUUCCAUCUAAAGCUAAAUACAGGCGAGAGACCGAUAGCGAACAAGUACCGUGAGGGAAAGAUGAAAAGAACUUUGGAAAGAGAGUUAAACAGUACGUGAAAUUGCUGAAAGGGAAACGCUUGAUGUCAGUCGCAUCGUCCGGGGAUCAGCCUCGCUCUUUUGCUCGGCGUACUUCCUGGUCGAUGGGUCAGCAUCGGUUUCGACCGUCGGAAAAUGGCUCGAGGAACGUGGCACUCUUCGGGGUGUGUUAUAGCCUCGAGUCGAAUACGACGGUCGGGACCGAGGAACUCAGCACGACCUUCGGGUUCGGGGCUUCGGCUCACGUUCGCGUGCUUAGGAUGCUGGCAUAAUGGCCUUAAGCGACCCGUC
Molecule: ribosomal RNA, 627 nt
Filed under: Suillus spraguei
Lineage: Eukaryota; Fungi; Basidiomycota; Agaricomycetes; Boletales; Suillaceae
Description: partial 25S ribosomal RNA
Rfam family: Eukaryotic large subunit ribosomal RNA
Source: RNAcentral